Molecule: ribosomal RNA, 253 nt
Filed under: uncultured bacterium
Lineage: Bacteria
Description: partial 16S ribosomal RNA
Rfam family: Bacterial small subunit ribosomal RNA
Source: RNAcentral
UACGUAGGGGGCAAGCGUUGUCCGGAUUUAUUGGGCGUAAAGAGUGUGUAGGCGGUCAGGUAGGUCCGUUGUGAAAACUCGAGGCUCAACCUCGAGACGCCGAUGGAAACCAUCUGACUAGAGUCCGGAAGAGGAGAGUGGAAUUCCUGGUGUAGCGGUGAAAUGCGUAGAUAUCAGGAGGAACACCUGUGGUGUAGACAGCUUACUGGACCAUAACUGACGCUGAGGCACGAAAGCGUGGGUAGCAAACAGG